GCCAGUGUGGUGCAGUGGUUUCAGUGCUGGUCUACAACUCAGGAGACCAGAGUUCAAAUCCCAGCUCAGCCA
Phrynosoma platyrhinos (Desert horned lizard) is the source of this 72-nucleotide non-coding RNA. The record is from the annotation of a GenBank genome assembly. Lineage: Eukaryota; Metazoa; Chordata; Lepidosauria; Squamata; Phrynosomatidae.